This 1728-nucleotide ribosomal RNA is filed under the name Arcyria cinerea. RNAcentral's name for it is "partial small subunit ribosomal RNA". It matches the Rfam family "Eukaryotic small subunit ribosomal RNA", at positions 26 to 1647 of the family's 1831-position model. Lineage: Eukaryota; Evosea; Eumycetozoa; Trichiida; Trichiidae. The record is from RNAcentral.
AUAUGCUUGUCCCGAAGAUUAAGCCAUGCAUGCUGCGAUUCUGCAAAAAUCUGCGAACAGCUCCGUAUAUCUGUUGUCACCAGUAAAGCCCCUAAGCGCCUUUUUGGCUUGGUCGGAUAGGCGCGGUAAUUCUGCUUGUAAUACGUGAGAAACCGCCGGCUUCGGGUCUGCAUCCUAGUAUUCUAGGCUGCCCGGUGUGUCGGUUGGUGUCCCGAGGCACCUGACCGCCCCUUUAUGGGGCCGAGGGAGUUCGAGGGACAGUACCUAAGGAUGCUUUGCACCCCUAGGCUUUGGGCUUCAGACCUAUCAACUGUUGGAGGCUGGGUAAGGGCCAGCCCCGGUGAUAACGGGUACAGAGGAUCAGGGUUCGGUCCUGGAGAGGUAGCCUGAGAGAUAGCUACUACUUCUAAGGAAGGCAGCAGGCGCGCAACGUUCCCAAUGGUUCACCACCCCGGUGGCCGAGGACGUUAAGGGAAAUAGCGAUACCCUGCCCCUAACGGGCGGGGUAAUCGCAAUGGGGGAGUUCUAAACCCCCCACCGAGUAACAAUUGGAGGACAAGUCUGGUGCCAGCACCCGCGGUAAUUCCAGCUCCAAUAGCAUCUAAUUGAGUUGUUGCAGUUAAAACGCUCGUAGUCCGAUGUGGCCACUCCGGCCUGACUUAGUAGGGGGUCCCGCGCGGUCGGUGCGAGCUGUAAAGCCCGCCGCUCCGCCUCGAUUCUUGAACGCCAGGCGCAGGCGGUAGCCAUAACAGGGCGGGGACCGCGCUCCGGCGCACCUCGCCCCUGUUUACUUUGAGGAAAUGUGAGCGCUCCAAGCAGCCCCCUGGGGGCCUGAAGCCUGCAGCAAAGAAUAAUACAAGACGACCCCCGCGGUCUGUCGGUAUUGUAUUGCAGGGUAAUGAUCAAUAGGGGAGAUCGGGGCCGGCCUGAUGGUGGGGGUAGGGGUGAAAUCCGAUGAUCCUCGCCAGCAGAACAAGAGCGAAAGCAGCCGGCUAGUACUCUUUCUUUGAUCAAGAACGAAAGUCUGGGGAUCGAAGAUGAUCAGAUACCAUCGUAGUCCAGACCCUAAAUUCUGCCGACCAUGGAUGGGCGUUAGUCCGUCCCGACCCUGCCCGCACCUUGUGGGAAACCAUCAAGUGUUUGGGCUCCGGGGGGAGUAUGGUCGCAAGACUGAAACUUAAAGGAAUUGACGGAAGAGCACACAAGGAGUGGAGCCUGCGGCUUAAUUUGACUCAACACGGGGAAACUCACGAGUGCAAGAGAGGGGUACGAAGCCCGGUAUGAAUUGCCAGGCUGAUUCCUUCAGUGGUGGUGCAUGGUCGUUCUUAGUUCGUGGAGUGAUUUGUCUGGUCUAUUCCGCUAACGAGCGAGAACCCGCUUUCUGGUGGUUGCCCGGUCGGCAUUGGUCGCUGCUUGUGGUCUCGCUGGCAUUGCCGUCUUCGGGCGGCUCUAAGACGGCUUGAUCCGGGCGGACCUUCUAACGUGCCGCUCCGGGAGCCCGCAAAGUGUUCCAGCGAUAAGCUGGGGCUCUGGGUCAAUAACAGGUCAGUGAUGCCCUUAGAUGUACUCGGCUGCACGCGCGCUACAAUGGGGGGGUCAACGGGUCUUCAGCUCCUAUCGGACGCGGAGAAUCCUCGUAACCCUCCCCUCAUCAGGGACUGCGGCAUGUAAUAUGCUGCGCGAACAUGGAAUUUCUAGUAGGCACGGUUCACCAGACCGUGCCGAUUC